CCCAGGAAUCCUCAGAAUGUGAGGUUUCUCUCAAAGGCAUCUUGCAUCAGCCUGUGGAUGUAUGCCUGCCGCCGGCUCCCUCCACCGGCAAAGUGGAAAAAGAAGCGUUUAACAACAAAUUCUUCGUUUGGGGUUGGGGAACGCAGUGGAUUAUAGCUCUGUUUUCUUCUUUCCAAAACUGUGCACUCCUGGAUGAGAGAGAGGAGCACGGGGCUCGAGCCCUGAAAAGGGCCUGAGAGAGCUCAUCCGACCCUCUCCAUUCACAGAGGGUGAACGUGAUCCUCAGGAAGGAGGGCUGCCGCGUACAGGGUCGCACAGCAGGUUAGCAGUGGAGCCAGCGACGCAGUCGGGUUCUCUUUACCUAGUCCAGUGCCUUUCCUCUCCAUACCUCCACUUUCAGGGUCC
This 405-nucleotide long non-coding RNA is filed under the name Dasypus novemcinctus (nine-banded armadillo). RNAcentral describes it as "lncRNA (ENSDNOG00000052882.1)". Lineage: Eukaryota; Metazoa; Chordata; Mammalia; Cingulata; Dasypodidae. The record is from RNAcentral.